AUUCGACCGGGUCGGGAAAGCAAAGUGUGGCGUGUCGAGGAGCGUGCUAGCCUCGUAAAAAGUACGCAAACUUAUAUCUGCCGAACCGCAGUACGCACUCGCGGCCUAAUACGGCCACGGUUCACGCGUUGGACGCCUGAUACGGCGCGUGAACACGAUCAUCAGGCUGGCCGACACUUGGCGCCUCUUGGGGUGUCGGCGAGGAGGUUUCAAGCGGCUGGAUCGAAGCACAGGGUGUCAUCCCCCGGUGUGAGAUCGAGAACAAACGGAUGACUACACACGUAGAAGCACUC
RNAcentral lists this transfer-messenger RNA (293 nucleotides) under Pseudo-nitzschia fraudulenta. RNAcentral describes it as "partial transfer-messenger RNA". It matches the Rfam family "transfer-messenger RNA", at positions 14 to 327 of the family's 374-position model. From Rfam's summary of the family: Bacterial tmRNA, also known as 10Sa RNA or SsrA, is named for its dual tRNA and mRNA-like properties. Its role is to liberate the mRNA from a stalled ribosome. To accomplish this part of the tmRNA is used as a reading frame that ends in a translation stop signal. The record is from RNAcentral. Lineage: Eukaryota; Bacillariophyta; Bacillariophyceae; Bacillariales; Bacillariaceae.